GACGAACGCUGGCGGCGUGCUUAACACAUGCAAGUCGAGCGACUGCAUUCUUUUCGGAGGGUGUAUGGAGCGGCGAACGGGUGAGUAACACGUGAGUAAUCUGCCUUUGGCUUGGGAAUAACUUCGGGAAAUCGGGGCUAAUGCCUGAUGUUUACUGUCUGCUGCAUGGUGGGUGGUGGAAAGAUUUUUUGGCCAGGGAUGAGCUCGCGGUCUAUCAGCUGUUGGUGGGGUAAUGGCUUACCAAGGCUUUGACGGGUAGCCGGCCUGAGAGGGUGUUCGGCCACACUGGGACUGAGACACGGCCCAGACUCCUACGGGAGCAGCGAGUGGGGAAUAUUGCGCAAUGGGCGUAAGCCUGACGCAGCGACGCCGC
Molecule: ribosomal RNA, 373 nt
Filed under: uncultured bacterium
Lineage: Bacteria
Description: bacterial SSU rRNA
Rfam family: Bacterial small subunit ribosomal RNA
Source: RNAcentral